Molecule: non-coding RNA, 4308 nt
Organism: Nicotiana tabacum (common tobacco)
Lineage: Eukaryota; Viridiplantae; Streptophyta; Magnoliopsida; Solanales; Solanaceae
Source: RefSeq, a predicted model, not a curated record
UUGGUCUUUUUAAUAUUUUACCGAAAGCUGCUGCAAGGAGUCCAACGUGGUGCAAGAACCGGUUCUUCUGUUUUACUACUGAUUCCUUUGACUCUCUCUCUUCUAUAUCCGAUGGUCAUAUUUCUUCUUUUUAAAAAUCUCCAUGUUUCUCAAUUUGUGUCUCUCUUUAUUUGGUUUUUUCUUGCACUACUUCUAAGAUUUGAUCCCUGCGUUUGGAGAUAAUUACUUCUCUUUCUUCGUGUGUUGCUUCUGGGUUUAAAUAAGUCUCAGGAAUCACCAAUUGCUUGCUAGGUUUUAAUUGGUUUUCUUUGGCAACUUUGCUUUCAGUUUGCCUGUUAUGUGUUUGUGAAAUUGCAUGUCACAAAGGGAAAAGAAAAGAGUAGUUCAAAGUUGAGAGAAUUGCAUGAAUACGAAAUUAUUAGUACAAAUUAGUGGAAAUUUGUGUGUUUAUUUACUUCUUUGAAGUUUUGAAUAUGUGUUUGUAAGAGGGGUUGAUUGUUGAAGAGAGAAGUAUCAUGUAUUCAUGCUUAAAUUUUGAUGCCCUUCUCCGAAUCUUGAGAAUCCAAAUUUUCCAAGGCAGAGAAGAUUAUUGUGAGACAAACUGAAAUAUUUUUUUGACUUAAUUCCUGGGUUGGCACUUGGAGGUCUGUGAAGGAGAAUGAGAAAGGAUUAAGUUUCUUAUUUUCUUUCUCACCCAUUUAUGUAAUUUCAAGUAUAUAGCUGUAUAAUUUAUUAUACGUGGCUUCUCCUAUUAUAGUCAGAUCUUUUUUUUUAUUCCUUACUUUUUUUCUGCAGGUUGAGCUUUUUGUUUGAAUCGCUUCUAUCUUCUAUACUAAUUCUACGCUCUGUUGUUGGUUUGUUCUGCCAUCUUCUCAUUUUGUUCUCCUCAUCUUGUUGUUUUAAGCUUCAGCUUCGGUUGUUGAAUCUCGUGCAAGUUAGGUUCUGGUUGUAUUGGCUGCAAGCGGAACGUAGGCGCUUUAGGUGUGUGUUGACCAUGCACUCUCGCUUCGUGUAAUGUCAGGGGAGGUAUGAAAUGGUUAUCUCGGCCGGGAAUCAAGCCCCAACACAAAGAGCUGUGGGCCAGGUUGCUUUGCUUUAUCGUAUCAAUCAGUAUUGUGGAUUUUCGCCUGCUCAUUCGGCUUGGGGAUCUGAGUUGUUCAGUCCUUUGAGUUGCUUUCUAGCUCCAUUAGAUACGAAUGUGCUUAUUAAAUAACUGACUCAACUGCAACACCCCGAUGGAAUAUUUUUUGGGAACAUGUAAAGACAUCAGAAUUUACAUAUUUUGCAGUGGAACUCAUUCUUACUUUUACAGAAUACAAUUGAAAAAUUAAAUGGUUAUCUUCGUACUAAAUUGUAGUAUAUUACUACUGCUUCUGCCGCCAUAUUUUUGUUUCAGGUUUCACUCCGUGUUUAGGUAAGUGCACAUUCUUGUGUGUGUUCAGACUUUCGAACUCUGGUGAGUAUCGCUCUUCCGUUGGCUUUUACUUUGUCCACUUCGUUUCCAUUGGUUAGUUUCUUUGCAUUGAGAUAUCGACUUUCCACAAUGUAGACAAAAAGAAGGCCCUUUUAGUUCUACAACGACCAUACAGAGCUGAAUUAAAUUGAAUUGGAAAAAUGUUGUUUGCUUGACAAUUUAGCUAUUCGUGACUCAGCUAAUGCAUCAUCUUCUUGGUCUAGCAGUAUUUUUACGAAGCAGGAUUCUCCUGUUAUAAGAGGGCUCAUUGCUUUGUUGUGAAACAGGUUAGGUAAUUUUGUUGUCGCAUAUAAAUAGUAUAGAAUUACAUUACUUGGAACAAAAUAAUGAAAAAUAAAAAAGUGGCUGAAAGCUUUUUAAGCAUUAUUGUAUCAAACAGGAGUUGAAAAUGAACUUUAGUUAAUUGUGUCCUGAAGCUUUACCCUGAUUUGAAUGUCGCCUUUAACCCCUCUUUCUUAAAUAUUGAGUUUUUUUUCCUAAAAAGAGGUCAUGUGAUUUUUCUUACAUUUUACUACUGAUGAGAAAUUUGAGAAAUAGAAGUAGCUAUAAGUUUAUGUUAGUUGACCUUUUUCUUGCACUUGUACUGUUAUAGAUAUAUGCUCAUGUAUCCUCAUUCUAAAUGUCUUAAAUGUUGAGUGGCUUCAUAUACUUCAUCCUUAUUAUAGGAUUCGUCUGAAGUUGUGAGAUUAACUCUUUGAUAGGAAAGAUCUAUUAUCUAGCAAUGGCUAUAUGUUUAUAUCAUAUAUAAUAUGAUACGACAGAAAAUUAGGAAAUUUCAGAUUAAUUAUUUUGCUUAUAUGCUUUGUGGACAUAACCUUGAAGCCUAUUAUUUUUACUUGCAUAUUUUACAUUUUUACGUACGCACAAACAAGCUUUGAGUCUUAUGGGACAUCUAUUGGAAACAAAAGGAAAAUUGAGGAUGGUUCUAAGGAAGAGCUCUUUCCCAGAACAAGAAAGAGAGGAAGAAAGUGACAGAAGUGGGUAUAUUGAAGAAGGAUCCUGACCAACUAAAAUAUCAGAUUCAGAAACUAGAAGUGAUGAGUAAGUUGUUCCACAUAUAAUUCUUUUCUUUGGAUAAGUUGCUGCAUUUAAACUCUGUGAUACUUCUUAUAUAAUUGAAUAAAAUGCUCUAUUUUUAGAUCAUUUGUAAUUGAAUAAAAUGCUCUUGUGCUUAACAUUUCGUUGAUCUCUGGAGAUUGUUUUGAGUGACAUUGAAGAAAGACUGAGAAUUAUAAAGUAAUGCCUAUUCAUCACGUUCAGUAAAGUAAAAGCAAUAAGUAGAGGAAGGGCAGAAGUAGGAAAUAAUCUGAAGUGGAUUAAUUAAAGCUCGAAGAAUUACUUUAGAAAAAUUCAUGAGUAAACUGAAGAGUGGCUACUACCAGUAAAUCAGUAAUAUAACAAUGGACCUGUGGUCAUCUUGAGUUAAUUGGUUUAAAUUUUCACAUAGCUUUUAGCUGUCUCAUAGUUUUUUAGUUGUGUUUUGUUAAUUAAACUGUAAACUUUAAAACUUUAUACCAGAUGGGAGUGGUGUAGUGCAGGCUAUUUCUGGAGAACAUUAUUUCUGAUAUUUUGCUCUGUUCCUUUCUUUAACAUAUUUACUUUGUUGGUCCACUUCUCCUUUAUAUGUCGUUUGUUGCUUAAAGAAAGAAACAAUACAUACUUCUAUGAACCUCGAUGCUAAUUCAUAGGCACAACUGUGUUAUUGUUUCCUCUUAAGACUAGAAAAGGAACUUGAUUGGUUAGAUUUCUCCAAGAGCAUUGUAGAAGCUGUAUCACAAGAUGAAUGACAUUCUUUUGAAAAAGAGUGACCAGCUUCUUUUUGAGAAAGCACCAACAUUUUAUCUGUUCAACUAAGCAUGUAGAAACAAAUUCCAAUUUAAGUGACUUUUCUAUGGAAGUAAAAGCUCAUGGAAAGAUUAAACUAGAUAGCUAUACGAUGUGAGUAGAGUGAGUUACUUUAUGUUACAGUGAGGCUAUACUGUUAAGAACAAUAGAUUCUUAUGAGAGUUUAGAGAUUGCUGGAUGAGUUUAGAUGAUUAAUUUAUAACGUGGAAAGGCAAGGGAUCUACUAUUAGGUGCCUAUCAAAUUAGAGUUAGCAGCUCUUUUAAAAACAAAGGUAACAAUUUGUGCUCCUCUAAAUAAUGAAUGAGCUAUUUUUUCUCUCCCAAUAAAAUAUGAAUGAGCUAAUAACCUAUUUUCCAUAGCUUGAAUCAGAUCUAACAGUUCCUUAGACAGUUCAUUGCAAAAGGGAUUGUGUGAUUCUUUAUGUACUGAUUAACACAAAGAGGGCUGCUUACUAAAUACUUGAUUGCAUUGUAAAAGCACUUGAUUGUUUGAUUCUUUAUGUACUGCUUACUAAACAUUUUAUGUACUCAUUAUGACUUAAUUUACUCUUUCAUACAUCAGCUAACUGUAGUAACCGGUCACCUAAUAUUGUCAUCCAAGUCUUUAAGUGCUUUAGCUGUUCUAUGAUGCAUAUGUUACUUCAUAUUAGAGGAUUUAUAUCUCAGUAACCGCAUAAAGUGCAAUACUUGCAAUAGUACUGGUACUGGAGAGGCAUUUGCUUCUUCGUAACAGUUUCUUUCAGGUUAUACUAGGUUUUCUUUGAUUCUCAACAAAGCUUAAUACUUUCGAGGUUGCUCAGUUUAUAGUGAUACUGAAGGCAUAAUCCAGCAAACUGCAGGGAUCAUAUUUGGUAGAGUCAAGGUGCCGUGAAAGCUUACUUAGAAUUGAGCAUGAGAUAUACCAUAUCACAUUAUGCUUCACAUGUAACUUUAAGUGUUACCGUGUGGCAUCUUUAAGAAUAUAAUAUAGAAUACUCCUAUUUAUUGUC